RNAcentral lists this ribosomal RNA (253 nucleotides) under uncultured bacterium. RNAcentral describes it as "partial 16S ribosomal RNA". It matches the Rfam family "Bacterial small subunit ribosomal RNA", at positions 524 to 776 of the family's 1533-position model. The record is from RNAcentral.
UACGUAGGCAGCAAGCGUUGUUCGGAGUUACUGGGCGUAAAGGGUGCGUAGGCGGUUAUUUAAGUUUGGCGUGAAAUCUCCCGGCUCAACCGGGAGGGUGCGUUAAAUACUGAGUGACUAGAGUGCGGGAGAGGAAAGUGGAAUUCCUGGUGUAGCGGUGAAAUGCGUAGAUAUCAGGAGGAACACCGGUGGUGUAAACGGCUUUCUGGACCGUAACUGACGCUGAUGCACGAAAGCGUGGGUAGCAAACAGG